GGAGUGUGAAUGAUAUUCCUGGCUGGCUGAAGGAGCGACAGGACCUCUGACAGAGCAGUUGCUGGCAGGAGAGCAAGACUGAACUCUUGGGUGGCACUGGGAAUGAGUACAAGACUUCAGCACUAUGGGGUUUGUGUUUGUUUUCACAGACUGUGUGUGACUCAGCUAGAGGGCUGAGUUGCUGAAGACUUACUACAAUCAUAGAGGAAAAAGAGUGCAGGCACAGGUACUCAGCCAGGGGCUGCUUUUGAGAGGAGGUGAAAGCAAGCAGGAAGAGGUCAAUUAUUGCUGAUUGCUAGUAUUUUAUAAAGGAGAAGGUAAAUACUACCUGGAUCGAGCUGAAUAACUGUUCGGGGCCCCUACUCAAAUGACCGUCUCUUGCUACUGAAGAUCUUGGUUUAAGAAACUAUCCACUAUGAAUGAUGGAUUAACAGCAGAGAUCCCUGCUUAUUAUACCCAAUGGGAGAGAAGCUACCAUAGAAGCUACAGUUGGUUGCCAGGAUUUAACAUCUGCAGUGAAUACGUGGGCUGGGAUGAAUUCCCAUUUAAAGGAGCCACUGCGGGGGGCCUGCUAGCUUUUGCGAUGUUGUAAUUCUAAUUUUCUUGCUCAUUAGGAAGAUAAAAGAUCAACUGUCUUUAUUUCCCAGCUUGAUGUAAUGUACAAUGUCAAUGAUACGGAGGAAGUCCUAAAGGUGGCAAGGCAACCCAGAGAAAUAAACUCUCAGGUAAAUAUCAGACUUCUUCCUGACUAUGGCCCAGAGCUAGUAAAGGAGAAGAAGGAUUUUUGAAGAAACUAAAUGUAAAUUGAGAGAACUGGGUGAUGUAUAUAUUUUAGUAUAUUCAGCAAAACUCCCAGGAUGACCGAGAAGUAGACAAGCUUUGUGGAAACAGGACAUGCAUAAGAUGAUGUUGGAACUUCACUGUUUAUUGAUUAAAGUAACAAGACUUUGCUGCUA
This is a long non-coding RNA of Dermochelys coriacea (leatherback sea turtle), 956 nucleotides long. RefSeq lists it as uncharacterized. Lineage: Eukaryota; Metazoa; Chordata; Testudines; Dermochelyidae. The record is from RefSeq and is a predicted model, not a curated record. The transcript has 3 exons.